RNAcentral lists this unclassified non-coding RNA (493 nucleotides) under Hevea brasiliensis (rubber tree). The record is from RNAcentral. Lineage: Eukaryota; Viridiplantae; Streptophyta; Magnoliopsida; Malpighiales; Euphorbiaceae.
UUGAGGGCAUCGUUGACAGCGUUGCCGAUGGCGGCGGGAGGAGCAAUCGCACCGCCUUCACCAAGACCUUUGACACCGAACUCCGUGUAAGGGGACAGCGUUUCCAUAUGCUCGACCUGCGGAGCGGGAACCUCGGUUGGCCCAGGCAGCAGAUAAUCCGCGAAGGUCGAUGCCAGCGGUUGUGCUGAUGGAUCGAACGGCAUCUCUUCAUAGAGAGCCGUGCCGAUACCUUGUGCGAGGCCGCCGUAGAUCUGGCCGUCGACGACCAUCGGAUUGAUCAGCUUGCCGCCGUCCUCGACGAUCACGUAGUCGAGAAUUUCGAUGUCGCCCAUUUCCGGGUCCACUGCAACGACGGCGAUAUGUGCGGCGUAGCUAAAGGUGCCGGAGUCGCGCACCGGCUUGUAGCCAAUCGUGGUUUCAAGGCCGCGCGGAUCGACCGAGGCAGGCAGAUCCUGAGGGCGCCGAUACCAGGUGUGAGCGACUUCCUUCACAG